This 341-nucleotide ribosomal RNA is filed under the name Bolitoglossa paraensis. RNAcentral's name for it is "partial 16S ribosomal RNA". It matches the Rfam family "Bacterial large subunit ribosomal RNA", at positions 1967 to 2515 of the family's 2925-position model. The record is from RNAcentral. Lineage: Eukaryota; Metazoa; Chordata; Amphibia; Caudata; Plethodontidae.
AUUUGUCUUCUAAAUAAAGACCAGUAUGAAUGGCAAGACGAAAGCCUCACUGUCUCCCUAAUCCAAUCAAUGAAAUUGAUUUUCCCGUGCAGAAGCGGGAAUAAUAAUAUAAGACGAGAAGACCCUGCGGAGCUUUAAACUUUAAUUAAUAAUAACUAUUAUUUUAACAACCAGUUUUAGGUUGGGGCGACCAUGAGGCACAACGUACCCCUCACGAUAGGUAUCAAGAAGGACACUUCAAAUUAUCAACACUGACACUUUGACCCAAUAAUUGAUCAACGAACCAAGUUACCCCAGGGAUAACAGCGCAAUCCGCUCAAAAAGUCCUUAUUGACGAGCAG